Molecule: ribosomal RNA, 665 nt
Filed under: [Candida] sp. Levazot14
Lineage: Eukaryota; Fungi; Ascomycota; Saccharomycetes; Saccharomycetales
Description: SSU rRNA
Rfam family: Eukaryotic small subunit ribosomal RNA
Source: RNAcentral
UAAUAGGGACGGUCGGGGGCAUCAGUAUUCAGUCGUCAGAGGUGAAAUUCUUGGAUUGACUGAAGACUAACUACUGCGAAAGCAUUUGCCAAGGACGUUUUCAUUAAUCAAGAACGAAAGUUAGGGGAUCGAAGAUGAUCAGAUACCGUCGUAGUCUUAACCAUAAACUAUGCCGACUAGGGAUCGGGUGGUGCUACUUUGCCCACUCGGCACCUUACGAGAAAUCAAAGUUUUUGGGUUCUGGGGGGAGUAUGGUCGCAAGGCUGAAACUUAAAGGAAUUGACGGAAGGGCACCACCAGGAGUGGAGCCUGCGGCUUAAUUUGACUCAACACGGGGAAACUCACCAGGUCCAGACGUAAUAAGGAUUGACAAGUUAGAGACUUCUCUUGAUCUUACGGGUGGUGGUGCAUGGCCGUUUUUAGUCCUUGGAGUGAUUUGUCUGCUUAAUUGCGAUAACGGACGAGACCUUAACCUGCUAAAUAGGGCUGCGAGCAUCUGCUCGGGUGCUCUUCUUAGAGGGACUAUGGGUAUCAAACCCAUGGAAGUUUGAGGCAACAACAGGUCUGUGAUGCCCUUAGACGUUCUGGGCCGCACGCGCGCUACACUGACGGAGCCAGCAAGUCCAACCUUGGUCGAGGCCCGGGUAAUCUCGUGAAACUCCGUC